Molecule: non-coding RNA, 124 nt
Filed under: Heterocephalus glaber (naked mole-rat)
Lineage: Eukaryota; Metazoa; Chordata; Mammalia; Rodentia; Bathyergidae
Description: Insulin-like growth factor II IRES
Rfam family: Insulin-like growth factor II IRES
About the family: This family represents the insulin-like growth factor II (IGF-II) internal ribosome entry site (IRES) which is found in the 5' UTR of IGF-II leader 2 mRNA. This family allows cap-independent translation of the mRNA and it is thought that this family may facilitate a continuous IGF-II production in rapidly dividing cells during development.
Source: Rfam by way of RNAcentral
ACGACUGGGCAUUGUCCCCCAGUUCCCCCCCAAAUUUGGGCAUUGUCCCUAAGUCUUCCAACGGACUGGGCGUUGCCCCCGGACAUUGGGGACUGCCCCCCGGGGUCUCGCUCACCUUCAGCAG